This 1764-nucleotide ribosomal RNA is filed under the name freshwater metagenome. RNAcentral's name for it is "bacterial LSU rRNA". It matches the Rfam family "Bacterial large subunit ribosomal RNA", at positions 590 to 2381 of the family's 2925-position model. The record is from RNAcentral.
UUCCGAUCUGUGUGCCUGUUGAAGAAUGAGCCGGCGACUUAUAGGCACUGGCGGGUUAAGACGGGAAUGUCGAAGCCAAAGCGAAAGCGAGUCUGAAUAGGGCGAAUUAGUCAGUGAGUAUAGGCCCGAACCCGGGUGAUCUAACCAUGGGCAGGAUGAAGCUUGGGUAACACCAAGUGGAGGUCCGAACCGACCGAUGUUGAAAAAUCGGCGGAUGACCUGUGGUUAGGGGUGAAAUGCCAAUCGAACCCGGAGCUAGCUGGUUCUCCCCGAAAUGUGUUGAGGCGCAGCGGUAGUGGAUGUAUAUGGGGGGUAAAGCACUGUUUCGGUGCGGGCUGCGAGAGCGGUACCAAAUCGAGGCAAACUCAGAAUACCCAUAUAAAAACUACUAGUGAGACAGUGGGGGAUAAGCUCCAUUGUCAAGAGGGAAACAGCCCAGACCACCAGCUAAGGUCCCCAAAUCAGGAUUAAGUGAUAAAGGAGGUGGGAGUGCAAAGACAACCAGGAGGUUUGCCUAGAAGCAGCCAUCCUUAAAAGAGUGCGUAAUAGCUCACUGGUCAAGCGCUCCUGCGCCGAAAAUGAAUGGGGCUAAAUUCUGUACCGAAGCUGUGGGAUUAGAAAUAAUCGGUAGGGGAGCGUUCCGUUGUAGAGAGAAGUACUAGCGGUAAGCAGGUAUGGACGAAACGGAAGUGAGAAUGUCGGCUUGAGUAGCGCAAACAUUGGUGGGAAUCCAAUGCCCCGAAAUUCCAAGGGUUCCUCCGCAAGGCUCGUCCACGGAGGGUUAGUCGGGACCUAAGGCGAGGCUGAAAAGCGUAGUCGAUGGACAACAGGUUUAUAAUCCUGUACUGAUUAAAGAUAGUGAAGAGGGACGGAGAAGGCUAACACAGCCGGAUAAUGGAUACCGGUGUAAGUAUCCGAGGUGAAGAGGGAUGGAGAGAACAUCCUGAGCUGAGGUAUGAGUCGGAGGAUUUACGAAUCCGAAGUGUGUGAUGUCAGGCUUCCAAGAAAAGCUCUAACCACGAUAAUUUUUAAUUACCCGUACUCUAAACCGACACAGGUGGAAAGGUAGAGAAUACCAAGGGGCGCGAGAUAACUCUCUCUAAGGAACUCGGCAAAAUGACCCCGUAACUUCGGGAGAAGGGGUGCCUGCGAGAGCAGGUUGCAGUGAAGAGGCCCAGGCGACUGUUUACCAAAAACACAGGUCUCCGCAAAGUCGUAAGACGAAGUAUGGGGGCUGACGCCUGCCCAGUGCCGGAAGGUUAAGGAAGUUGGUCAGCGGUAACGUGCAGCUAGCGACCGAAGCCCCGGUGAACGGCGGCCGUAACUAUAACGGUCCUAAGGUAGCGAAAUUCCUUGUCGGGUAAGUUCCGACCCGCACGAAAGGCGUAACGAUCUGGGCGCUGUCUCAGAGAGAGACUCGGCGAAAUAGGAAUGUCUGUGAAGAUACGGACUACCUGCACCUGGACAGAAAGACCCUAUGAAGCUUUACUGUAGCCUGGAAUUGGGUUCGGGCUUUGCUUGCGCAGGAUAGGUGGGAGACAAAGAAUACAUUCUUGUGGGAAUGUAGGAGUCGACGGUGAGAUACCACUCUGGUGAGGCUAGAAUUCUAACUUUAUCCCGUUAUCCGGGAAAAGAACAGUUUCAGGUGGGCAGUUUGACUGGGGCGGUCGCCUCCUAAAAGGUAACGGAGGCGCGCAAAGGUUCUCUCAGGCUGGUUGGAAAUCAGCCGUAGAGUGUAAAGGCGUAUUAUCGUGACUGGGAAAC